UCUAUCUAUCAAAAUAGAAGCUUCGGGU
Molecule: small RNA, 28 nt
Filed under: Bombyx mori (domestic silkworm)
Lineage: Eukaryota; Metazoa; Arthropoda; Insecta; Lepidoptera; Bombycidae
Description: ovarian small RNA-7698
Source: RNAcentral